Molecule: non-coding RNA, 149 nt
Filed under: Homo sapiens (human)
Lineage: Eukaryota; Metazoa; Chordata; Mammalia; Primates; Hominidae
Source: Rfam by way of RNAcentral
GCUGGGUGUGGUGGCACACACCUGUAAUCCCAGCUACUUGGGAGGCUGAGGCAGGAGAAUUGCUUGAGCCUGGAAGACGGGAGUUUGCAGUGAGCUGAGAUCGUGCCACUGCACUCCAGCCUGGCCAAUAGAGCGAGACUCUGCCUCAA